Long non-coding RNA from Pelmatolapia mariae (spotted tilapia), 142 nucleotides. RefSeq lists it as uncharacterized. NCBI's taxonomy places the organism in Eukaryota, Metazoa, Chordata, Actinopteri, Cichliformes, Cichlidae. The transcript is spliced from 3 exons. The record is from RefSeq and is a predicted model, not a curated record.
UUUGUUAUGGAAUAUGUUGAGCAAACCUGGAGAAGCGUCAGCUCAAGAGACUAUUGUUGUCAUUACUGCUCGGGACCAGCACUCCUGUUGUUGGACAGAAAGACAUCAACUCAGUGACUUGAGAUAUGACUGCACUAUGCUG